Molecule: non-coding RNA, 973 nt
Organism: Nicotiana tabacum (common tobacco)
Lineage: Eukaryota; Viridiplantae; Streptophyta; Magnoliopsida; Solanales; Solanaceae
Source: RefSeq, a predicted model, not a curated record
CCUCCUAUUUCCAAAAAUUUCCCAAAUACACCUUAACCCAGCUAGUUGGGACUCCAAGGAUUCUCAAAUACCCUAGUUUGCUACAGCUGUCUCUCUCUCCUAAUACACCUUAACCCAGCUACUUGGGACUCCUCUCCACGCCUUCGAUGCCUUAACGGCGGGGAUAUACCGGAAGUAUCGCGCGCCGACCAACUGAUAGCUCCUCGGAAUGCAAAGCGACGGAAUGGACCAGAUUUUUCCAGAGCGUCAAACCCUAACUGUCUGUCUUAAUUUUACCAAAAACUGUAGUCAUCUGAUAGUGCAAUCCCUUUUUCUAUUCUUCUGAUUUGCAUUUUUCCGGCUAGAUUUUGCGGCAUUUAACAGAUUUGAGAGUACAACUAUACAAUCGGAGACAUUUCAUUUUCGAUUUUUUGAGAUUCUUCAAGUGGUGAAGCCAUAGCUAAGGCUAGGAUUUCACUUGAGGUAUGUGUUUAAUGCGUUGGACUUACUUAUUUUACAUUCUGUUUUGAGUAUCAAGAAGUUCGUAUGCAUUGUUUCAGAUUUGUGAGGUAGAAUCAUGAAAAAAGUUGAAGCCCAUAACUUCGUCACUGAUUUUUGCUUUUCUGCUACAAAUUGCUAACAAAUAAAAUCAUAUUCUCUUUAUUGGUUAGUUAUAAACGAGGGGAUGCCUAGAUGGGAUGGGUUUAAUGUAAGCAAAUCCGUCAGUAAAUUGAAGGUGGACAUGAUGAAGAUAAAGAAACUCACUCAUAUGAAAUAGAUCCUGCUCAGGUAUAUGAAUGUGGAAAUUCUUCGGGGGUAAAUUUAUUAGACAAAGUGACUACACUACAAUUAUUCUUGUAGUCCGAUUAGACUUUCAUUUCGGAUAGAUUUUAUUUUAUUUAUAUAUUUUAAUUUAUGGAGUUUGUAAUGAGAAUAUUUCAAAUAUAGUAUUAACUUUUUAGAAUUAUAUGAUCAUGGAUAUUUUUUAGGACUG